This 432-nucleotide ribosomal RNA is filed under the name uncultured bacterium. RNAcentral's name for it is "bacterial SSU rRNA". It matches the Rfam family "Bacterial small subunit ribosomal RNA", at positions 96 to 524 of the family's 1533-position model. The record is from RNAcentral.
UGGCGGACGGGUGAGUAAUGCCUAGGAAUCUGCCUGGUAGUGGGGGAUAACGUUCGGAAACGAACGCUAAUACCGCAUACGUCCUACGGGAGAAAGCAGGGGACCUUCGGGCCUUGCGCUAUCAGAUGAGCCUAGGUCGGAUUAGCUAGUUGGUGAGGUAAUGGCUCACCAAGGCGACGAUCCGUAACUGGUCUGAGAGGAUGAUCAGUCACACUGGAACUGAGACACGGUCCAGACUCCUACGGGAGGCAGCAGUGGGGAAUAUUGGACAAUGGGCGAAAGCCUGAUCCAGCCAUGCCGCGUGUGUGAAGAAGGUCUUCGGAUUGUAAAGCACUUUAAGUUGGGAGGAAGGGCAUUAACCUAAUACGUUAGUGUUUUGACGUUACCGACAGAAUAAGCACCGGCUAACUCUGUGCCAGCAGCCGCGGUAAU